UACGUAGGUGGCAAGCGUUAUCCGGAUUUACUGGGUGUAAAGGGCGCGUAGGCGGGGACGCAAGUCAGGUGUGAAAUCUAUGGGCUUAACCCAUAGACUGCACUUGAAACUGUGUCUCUUGAGUGAUGGAGAGGUAAGUGGAAUUCCUAGUGUAGCGGUGGAAUGCGUAGAUAUUAGGAGGAACACCAGUGGCGAAGGCGACUUACUGGACAUUAACUGACGCUGAUGCGCGAAAGCGUGGGGAGCAAACAGG
RNAcentral lists this ribosomal RNA (253 nucleotides) under uncultured bacterium. Its description in RNAcentral is "partial 16S ribosomal RNA". It matches the Rfam family "Bacterial small subunit ribosomal RNA", at positions 524 to 776 of the family's 1533-position model. The record is from RNAcentral.